CAUAUUUAAUGCAAGGUUACAUUGAUAUACAGGGAAUUAUUCUGCUACAUAGUUUUUUACUGGUUGUAAUAUGUUUGUGUUUAAAUAAAUAGAGUUUAUCAUUUGAGUGAUUUUCUGAAAGCAACAAAACUUGAGGAUCAAAAGAUACAAGAAAGACAAAUCAAAGUCAUAAAUCGGAAAUAAACUUGACAACGACAUGGCUUAAAAAGAAAACAAAUGAACCAACAAAGACAAACAGACAAGCAAAAGAACAAAACACCAUAGAAAAAAAGGAUCAGCUACACGCACCGAACCAAAAAAUUGUGGUGAUCUCAGGUGCUCCGGGAGGGUAAGGAGAUCCUGCUCCGCAUGUGGAAUAGUAUCAUCAAGUAUCACAUUAAUUGAUCAAAUCGUUACCAAUUAGAUCGAGGGCAUCACGACGAUUACACAUUAUAGCAUUAACUGUACCACACA
RNAcentral lists this long non-coding RNA (453 nucleotides) under Mytilus galloprovincialis (Mediterranean mussel). The record is from RNAcentral. Lineage: Eukaryota; Metazoa; Mollusca; Bivalvia; Mytilida; Mytilidae.